CCUACGGGAGGCAGCAGUGGGGAAUAUUGCACAAUGGGGGAAACCCUGAUGCAGCGACGCCGCGUGAGUGAAGAAGUAUUUCGGUAUGUAAAGCUCUAUCAGCAGGGAAGAAGAAAGACGGUACCUGACUAAGAAGCCCCGGCUAACUACGUGCCAGCAGCCGCGGUAAUACGGAGGGGGCAAGCGUUAUCCGGAUUUACUGGGUGGAAAGGGAGCGUAGACGGCUGUGCAAGUCUGAAGUGAAAGCCCAGGGCUCAACCCGGGGACUGCUUUGGAAACUGUGGAGCUAGAGUGCUGGAGAGGUAAGUGGAAUUCCUGGUGUAGCGGUGAAAUGCGUAGAUAGUAGGAGGAACACCAGUGGCGAAGGCGGCUUACUGGACAGUAACUGACGUUGAGGCUCGAAAGCGUGGGGAGCAAACAGGAUUAGAUACCCGAGUAGUC
Molecule: ribosomal RNA, 441 nt
Filed under: uncultured bacterium
Lineage: Bacteria
Description: partial 16S ribosomal RNA
Rfam family: Bacterial small subunit ribosomal RNA
Source: RNAcentral